Molecule: ribosomal RNA, 1156 nt
Filed under: Spintharus flavidus
Lineage: Eukaryota; Metazoa; Arthropoda; Arachnida; Araneae; Theridiidae
Description: bacterial SSU rRNA
Rfam family: Eukaryotic small subunit ribosomal RNA
Source: RNAcentral
AAAAGCUCGUAGUUGGAUCUCAGUUCCAGACGGGUGGUCCGCCAACCGGUGGUUACUGCCUGGUCUGAACAGUCAGGCCGGUUUCCUUUGAUGAUCUUCACCGGUUGUCUUGGGUGACCGGCAAGUUUACUUUGAAAAAAUUAGAGUGCUCAAAGCGUGCGUGACGCAUGAAUAAUGGUGCAUGGAAUAAUGGAAUAGGACCUCGGUUCUAUUUUGUUGGUUUUCGGAACAUGAGGUAAUGAUUAAGAGGGACAGACGGGGGCAUUCGUAUUGCGACGCUAGAGGUGAAAUUCUUGGACCGUCGCAAGACGAACUACUGCGAAAGCAUUUGCCAAGAAUGUUUCCAUUAAUCAAGAACGAAAGUUAGAGGCCCGAAGGCGAUCAGAUACCGCCCUAGUUCUAACCAUAAACGAUGCCAGCCAGCGAUCCGGCUGUGUUCCUCAAAUGACACGCCGGGCAGCUUCCGGGAAACCAAAGCUUUUGGGUUCCGGGGGAAGUAUGGUUGCAAAAUUCAAACUUAAAGGAAUUGACGGAGAGGCACACAAGCAUUGGAUCCUGCGGCUCAAUUUGACUCAACACGGGUAAGCUUAGCUGGUCAGGACACAAGAAGGAUUGACAGAUUGAGAGCUCUUUCUUGAUUUUGUGGCAAGUGGUGCAUGGCCGUUCUUAGUUCGUGGAGUGAUUUGUCAGGUUGAUUCCGAUAACGAUCGAGACUCUAGCCUACUAAAUAGACGUUCCGAUCAUUUUCGUCGGACGGUCUUCUUAGAGGGAUACGCGGCGUCUAGCCGCACGAGACAGAGCAAUAACAGGUCUGUAAUGCCCUUAGAUGUCCAGUGCCGCACGCGCGAUACAUUGAAGGAAUCAGCGUGUGCUUCCCCUGUCCGACAGGACUGGGUAACCCGUUGAACCUCCUUCGUGCUGGGGAUAGGAGAGUGCAAUUACCUCCUUGAACGAGGAAUUCCCAGUAAGCACGAGUCAUCAACUCGUGUUGAUUACGUCCCUGCCUCUUGUGCACACCGCCCGUCGCUGUUAGCGAUUGAAUGAUUUAGUGAGGUCUUCGGACUGGCGCUCGGUGUGGCCUCCGGGUCGAGCCGAGUGCCGGAAAGAUGAUCGAACUUGGUUAUUUAGAGGUAACAAAAGUCGUAACAAGGUUUCC